Poecilia latipinna (sailfin molly) is the source of this 419-nucleotide non-coding RNA. The record is from the annotation of a RefSeq genome assembly. Lineage: Eukaryota; Metazoa; Chordata; Actinopteri; Cyprinodontiformes; Poeciliidae.
GGCUGAACAGAGACAAAAUGUCUUCAAUAGUGAUCAGACCUGAAGUUGUGUUUGCUUUUCUUAUCCUGUUGUUGAACUGGACAGGACUUAAUGGUCAAACACUGACUGAGUCUGAAUCAGUGGUGAAAACACCUGGAGAAUCCCACACACUGACCUGCACACAUUCAGGGUUUAGUGGAAAACCCUGGAUUGCUUGGAUCAGACAAGUUUCAGGAAAAGGACUGGAGUGGAUCUCAACUAUUGACAGUGGUGGUGGUACCGCCUACUCUCAGUCAGUGAGAGGCCGGUUCACCAUCUCCAGAGACGACAGCAGAAGUCAGGUGUAUCUGCAGAUGAACAGUUUGUCUGCUGAGGAUUCUGCAGUUUAUUAUUGCGCUAGAGAUCCACAGUGACACAGACAGUAGAAACACAGUACAAAA